This is a non-coding RNA of Podarcis lilfordi (Lilford's wall lizard), 70 nucleotides long. The record is from the annotation of a GenBank genome assembly. NCBI's taxonomy places the organism in Eukaryota, Metazoa, Chordata, Lepidosauria, Squamata, Lacertidae.
GGGCUGUACCUCAGUGGUAGAGCAUCUACCUUGCAUGCAUGAGGCCCCAGUUCAAUCCUUAGCGGCAUCU